UGGGGAAUUUUGCACAAUGGGGGAAACCCUGAUGCAGCGACGCCGCGUGAUUUAGAAGGCCUUCGGGUUGUAAAAAUCUUUUGUAUGGGAAGAAAAUGACAGUACCAUACGAAUAAGGACCGGCUAAUUACGUGCCAGCAGCCGCGGUAAUACGUAAGGUCCGAGCGUUGUCUGGAAUCAUUGGGCGUAAAGGGUACGUAGGCGGAUAAGCAAGUUAGAAGUGAAAUCCUAUAGCUCAACUAUAGUAAGCUUUUAAAACUGCUCAUCUUGAGGUAUGGAAGGGAAAGUGGAAUUCCUAGUGUAGCGGUGAAAUGCGCAGAUAUUAGGAGGAAUACCGGUGGCGAAGGCGACUUUCUGGCCAUAUACUGACGCUGAGGUACGAAAGCGUGGGUAGCAAACAGG
RNAcentral lists this ribosomal RNA (402 nucleotides) under Verrucomicrobiota bacterium. Its description in RNAcentral is "Verrucomicrobia bacterium partial 16S ribosomal RNA". It matches the Rfam family "Bacterial small subunit ribosomal RNA", at positions 355 to 776 of the family's 1533-position model. The record is from RNAcentral. Lineage: Bacteria; Pseudomonadati; Verrucomicrobiota.